This 456-nucleotide long non-coding RNA is filed under the name Androctonus crassicauda. The record is from RNAcentral. Lineage: Eukaryota; Metazoa; Arthropoda; Arachnida; Scorpiones; Buthidae.
UGCUAGUCUUUCUUAUUAGUAAUUAAUGUAUGUUUCAAUCUAAAAUUUUCACCUUGGCUUCUAUGAUAUGCUUUUCAUGCUAUUUUGCAUGUCUGCAACUGCUUGGAAGUUUGAUUUAUCAAUUUCUCAUAUCAAAUUCAAUAGCCAUUUCAUCAAACUUUCAGACAUACCUAACAGAAGUAACUGGUAAAUCAUUGACUCCAACUACUCAAAAAAGAAGUAGAAGCAGUAUAUCUGAAGAUUCAUUAUCUAGAAGUGCAUCUGAUUCAAGUGUUACUUAUCCGAGCAACAAAAAUGGUACUUUGGGCAUUUCACUUCCUCCAAUUGGGUAAGAUUUCAACUUACCUGUUUAAUUCAUGUCACCAAAAAUUUCAUUCUGAAAUCUUACUGGUGGAUUUAUUUAUUUAAAAUGUUUAUUCAUAUAAAUAAAUAUGCAUUUUAAAUAUAUUUAUAAAU